Molecule: ribosomal RNA, 446 nt
Filed under: uncultured bacterium
Lineage: Bacteria
Description: bacterial SSU rRNA
Rfam family: Bacterial small subunit ribosomal RNA
Source: RNAcentral
AGAACGAACGCUGGCGGCAGGCCUAACACAUGCAAGUCGAACGCCGUAGCAAUACGGAGUGGCAGACGGGUGAGUAACACGUGGGAACGUACCCUUCGGUUCGGGAUAACUCAGGGAAACUUGAGCUAAUACCGGAUACGUCCGAGAGGAGAAAGAUUUAUCGCCGAGGGAUCGGCCCGCGUCUGAUUAGCUUGUUGGUGAGGUAACGGCUCACCAAGGCGACGAUCAGUAGCUGGUCGAGAGGAUGAUCAGCCACAUUGGGACUGAGACACGGCCCAAACUCCUACGGGAGGCAGCAGUGGGGAAUAUUGGACAAUGGGCGCAAGCCUGAUCCAGCCAUGCCGCGUGAGUGAUGAAGGCCCUAGGGUUGUAAAGCUCUUUUUACCCGGGAAGAUAAUGACUGUACCGGGAGAAUAAGCCCCGGCUAACUUCGUGCCAGCCGCCGC